UACGGAGGGUGCUAGCGUUGUUCGGAAUCACUGGGCGUAAAGCGCAAGUAGGUGGUGUGUAAAGUCAGAUGUGAAAUCCUGGGGCUUAACCUCAGAAUUGCAUCUGAUACUAAUACACUUGAGUACGGUAGAGGGUGGUGGAAUUCCUAGUGUAGAGGUGAAAUUCGUAGAUAUUAGGAGGAACACCGGAGGCGAAGGCGGCCACCUGGACCUGUACUGACACUGAGAUGCGAAAGCGUGGGGAU
RNAcentral lists this ribosomal RNA (245 nucleotides) under uncultured bacterium. RNAcentral describes it as "partial 16S ribosomal RNA". It matches the Rfam family "Bacterial small subunit ribosomal RNA", at positions 524 to 768 of the family's 1533-position model. The record is from RNAcentral.